GGGGGUUUGCCCUGCCGGACUUAAGACUCUACUAUGAAUCGGCGGCUUUCUGCUGGUUGAAACAUUGGCUACUUCUUGAGAAUACAGACAUUUUGGAUCUAGAAGGGUUUGACAAUAGAUUUGGCUGGCAUGCAUAUAUAUGGUAUGAUAAGGUAAAACUGCAUAAAGGUUUCAAAAACCAUAUUGUUAGGAAAGCAUUAUAUAAUGUUUGGAUGCGGUAUAAAGAUUUAUUGGAAAGUAAAACUCCCAGGUGGUUGUCACCAAUGGAAGCUAAAGAGGUGAAAAAACUUAAUAUGGAGUCUAAAUGGCCAAAAUAUUGUGAAAUUUUAGAACAAGAUGGGGAAAAAGUUAAAUUACAGAGUUAUGAGAAAUUAAAGUCCAAAGUGCGAGAUUGGUUGCACUACCUUCAGAUAAACGAGACAUUUAAACAGGACAGGAAAAUAGGUUUCCAGAUGGAGAGGUCAAAAUUAGAAACAGAACUGUUAGAACCCAAUACUAAGAAUCUGUCGAGAAUGUAUAAUCUGCUGUUGAAAUGGAACACACAGGAUGAAACGGUGAAAUCAGCUAUGAUAAAAUGGGCACAAGAUAUUGGUCAUAACAUUAUGUUUGCUGACUGGGAACAGCUGUGGACCACCGGUACUAAAUUUACGGCAUGUAAUGCCUUAAGAGAAAACAUUAUGAAAAUGAUGUAUAGGUGGUACAUGACCCCAGUCAAGCUUGCAAAAAUUUAUCAUCUGCCCAAUAACAAAUGUUGGAAAUGUAAUGAGACUGAAGGUACUUUUUAUCACCUUUGGUGGACCUGCCCGAGGAUAAAAGCUUUUUGGGAAAUGAUCUAUAAUGAAAUUAAGAAGGUUCUUAAAUGGACCUUCCCUAAAAAACCUGAGGCUUUUCUCCUGGGCAUUGUCGGCCAAUUGGUGAGAAGGAAGGACAGGACGUUUUUUAUGUAUGCGACCACAGCAGCAAGGAUUCUUCUAGCAAAGUAUUGGAAGACACAACAACUACCCACACUGGAAGAAUGGCAGACGAAGGUGAUCGACUACAUGGGACUGGCGGAGUUGACUGGCAGAAUCCGUGACCAGGGGAAAGAGACAGUGGAAGAAGAUUGGAAGAAAUUCAAAGUUUAUCUUAGAACUUGUUGUAAAAUUCAGGAAUGUUAAAAUGUCAAGGGGUUGGGAAACAGAGAAUUGCAGCUGUAAUUAACAAUAUUAGAAGAACUUAAAAGAAAUUGAAUUGAAUAAUUAGUCGACUGAGGAGUUGCUGAAGAAAUAUAAAACAAGGAUGCAGAAAAGGGGAGGUAUGGGGAAGUCCGGAAAGUAAGGUUUAUGAAAAAAUGGUUAUGAAAUUAUACAUGUUUAUAUGUUUGUAUGUCGGUGUAUUGUGUAUUGUUUGUUUUUUUUUUUUUAUUUUGUGUUUGGAAAAUUAAUAAAAAUUUAUUUAAAAAAAAAAA
Podarcis lilfordi (Lilford's wall lizard) is the source of this 1447-nucleotide non-coding RNA. The record is from the annotation of a GenBank genome assembly. Lineage: Eukaryota; Metazoa; Chordata; Lepidosauria; Squamata; Lacertidae.